This is a small nucleolar RNA of Eutrema salsugineum, 126 nucleotides long. NCBI's taxonomy places the organism in Eukaryota, Viridiplantae, Streptophyta, Magnoliopsida, Brassicales, Brassicaceae. The record is from Rfam.
GAGCAAGGGCGUCGAAUAUAAAAUGGCGUGAAUUGCCUUGAAGGUUGGCGAUAACAAACUGCGAUUCUCCGUGCCUAUCAAACUUGUUUUUGGUAUUGAUAAUGGCCUCGAACAAGUCGCUACAUU